RNAcentral lists this long non-coding RNA (7645 nucleotides) under Lactuca sativa (garden lettuce). Its description in RNAcentral is "long non-coding RNA (LSAT_LNC007525)". The record is from RNAcentral. Lineage: Eukaryota; Viridiplantae; Streptophyta; Magnoliopsida; Asterales; Asteraceae.
UUCAAGAUAGUUGAUUUAAAGUCCUUAAUAUGACACCCAAUAUGAAAUAUUAAGGCUAGGACCCAACAAACUAUUUUAUAACUUAGAAGAGGUAUGCCGUAAUCCAAGCUAUAAAAUAUUUGAAGGUAGGUGAAUGACGAUUCACCAAUUUCCACCAAGAUAAACGAAAUGUAUUAUUAGGUUUUAAUUGGUUUUGAAACUCCUAGAUCUUUGAGAUUCAUUGAACUUUUCAAAGGCAUGUUUCAAUCUCGAGUGUGCCCUUCAGGUUUUGUGACUGGGAUGCCGAGGAUCACAAAACAAGGUGUGAAGUAACCAUGCAAAUCACUUGGUACCCUUAAUAAAUUACCCCUCAAUCGAUGUGCCGGUUAACCACACACGCUCCAUCGAUACUAUGAUAAAUAUUAAGUCACCCUUUACCUACCUUGUUAAGUCCAAGUUAGUGUGCCGGUUAACCACACACGCUCCACUAACGACUUAGACAAAGUGUAAAGUGUAAUUUCAUGGAUUAGCACCUUAUUCACAUUUUUCCUAAGUAACUAAGAUUGGGUAUUAUUAAGAGUUUAGUUACUUAGUAUUAUCAUUAAUACUUUUAAUGAAGGGAGAAUUCUAGUCCUGUCAAACCCGUUCGGCUAACGACCCUCCACCAGUCAAGCAAGCGGUGGGUGAGAGUGGACACCCAUUAAGUUGCCAUUUUAUAGGCAACAACCUUAUACCCACCUUAUAGACCGGCUUCGUGAAUGAGGCGUACUAGCGGUAAGACUGACUUUACUCUUAUACAUAUAUAUAUUAUUAACUUAUAAUAUUAUAAAGUAUAAGGGUUGAAUUUUAACUUUUAAAAUUCUAAGGGCUAACUUGGAAUUAAAGUAUUCAUACUUGAAAACUUUUCAAAUUCCAAAACUUGAGGGCAAGUUUUGAAACUAUUCAAAACUAAUUAAUUCCAUAACUUAUGUGUUUAAAGUAGUUUUAAUCCAAAAACUCUUCAAGUUCCAUAACUUGAGGACAAGUUAUGGAAGACUUUAAACUAAUAAAAGAACUAACUUUUUCUUUAUUUUAUAACUUAUGGAUUUAAUUAUGGUUACAUAUUUUUCUUUAAUGAAGUGACUCUUGAACUUCCAUAACUUGAGGACAAGUUAUGGAGUCAAAAAAAAUUAUUCAAUGACACAAGACUCUUCAUUUUGUAACCAUUGCCAACUUUUAUGAGUUUUAUGAGUCUUUAAUGUGACUCUUCAUGUAACUUGAGGACAAGUUACACAAACACAUUUUAUACUCAACUCUUAGAUUAAAAUGGAUUGAAAACAACUAUUUCACUCAACAUUUCUAUUAAUCUAAGCAACUCAUAAGAACAAGAUAAUUCAAAUCAAACUUUUUCAUGUAAUUAGUCUAAACCUUAAACUAAUACAAAACAUGAAUCUAUUGACAAUUAUCUUUGAAAAUGGAUUAGCAUGAACAUUACCACAUCAAAAACAAGUUUAUAAGUUCAAAAACAACUUAGGGUAAUGUUCCUAGUCCAUUUCUAGCCAAAAAACUCGAAAAUAUGCUGUCUGGGGGUCCAACUCGUCGAGUGCAUGAACAAACUCGGCGAGUUGGAUCGAAUUCAUCACUUUUUAGGCAUGGACUCGUCGAGUCUCCUGAUGGACUCGCCGAGUCUGAUGGCCAGACAGCACCAGAUUCGUUUUUUCAGCUUCUAUUGCAGGUAUAACAAGAAAACAAGCCUAGGCUCUGAUACCACUGUUGGGUUUUGAGCAUUCUAACACUCCUAAGUGUACAUGCAACCCUAAAUACCUUGGAUCUAUGUUUUCUCUAUUAUACAUGCAAAUAAGAACUUCCAAGGUAUUAUCCUAAUCUAGCAUACAAAACAAUGACUAUAACAAGAUAGAAUACAUACCUCUUUGAUGUAGAAAGUCUUCAUGAAGCUUGAGUGCCUAGUGCCCCAAGUGUGACACCUCAAAUGGAAUCACAAUCAUCAAAACACUUGGAAUGACUUGAGAGAAUUCUACACUCUUCAAAAUCGGCUAGCCCUUUCUUCACUAUCACUAGUGGCCGAUUUUUCCUCAAUAAUAAGAUGCUUAUAUAGUUACACAAUUAGGGUAAACUCUUAAUUGUCAUGGCUUUCCAUUUCCUUGGAUCCAUGGGUACAAAUACACCAUGGAGCAUCCAUGGACCAUCCUAUGGGUUUUAGCCCAACUUGAUUAUCCAUGGAGCAUUAGCCCACUAUACAAGUAUGGAUGAUUUACACAAUCAACCCAUAUAUUUAAUUAGUCUUCUUUUGAUCACUUAAUUAAUCCUAGAUUAAUUCUUGAUCAAUACUAAUUAAAUAAUCUUAUUAUUCUUAUUAUUAAUAUACUAGAACUUAUAAUAUAUUAAUAACCAUAAGUGUCUUAUUUCUCUCAUUAUAGUCUAUCCAAGUGCAUGAUGGUAUGCAACCCAAAUGGACCAUGCCGGGUCGGGUCAAGUCUUACCAAUUAUAGUUAUGGACUUAGACAUUAAUCCAACAGUCUCCCACUUGGAUAAGUCUAAAACUAUUAUUGCGUAUGACUUCAGGAACCAACUGGCAAUCGUAGCUCUCAAAAGCUUCUGUCGAACUCUGACCUUGUAGAUGAACUCUGACCUUUGUCAAUGACUUGUCCAUUAGAUAAGGGAUCAUAUAUUCCUCCAUUCUAGAUAUCAUAUGGACUGAGACAUGGAUUAUAAUCAUUCUCUCUGUCCAUUUGUUGUUUCCCGAUUUCCGAUUUAUGACGACUGACUAAUUGAACAAAUCAAAUCAGUCCUGGCCCGGCCGAGCACUUCCAUUUGUCAUCAUCAAAUCAUCGAGGGGCCCACAGAUAUCGCUUUUAUCCCGAAGGUAAAAGGAACGGAUAAACUUCGACUCAUAUGGCUUGUUCUACUACUUGUUGAAUCAUACACAAAGGCACGUUUUAUAGCACCGAGUUACCAAAUGCGUUUUCGUGCAAUCAAUGUACUAUCAACUCAUAGUAACAACUCAUAUCUCUAGGUUUGAAGAAUAUAAGAUAUUAUCGUCUCAUGAUCACUCGUGAUAAAAUCCAUGAAGUGAUUCCAAUGAGCGCGGGUUGAAUCCAAUACUCAGAACUUAUGAGCACUCAUGAGUGUUGUAGCCCUUUGUCCAACACCUUAGACCUCUACAAGCCAACCCAUGACAGUCUUAAUUCAUAUCUACUUCCAACAUAUGACCGACUGUGGAUGGUUUGAAUAACUUAGUCAUUCCGGAAGAAUAACCCAGUUUAUUCGGGAAGUCAAAACAUGCAAAAUGAAACACAAUAAUAAUUGAAUCCAAUAUGGUAUCAACCCUUUGAACAUAAAUAAAACACCUUUUAUUUAUCACCAUAUGAUUACACAUUAUUCAUUGUAUACUGUUUCAGCUAUCAACUUUAUUCUUGAAUUUAAAACAAUAGUUGUCCCAUGCUCCAAGCAUGUACACUAUGUUUUCUUAAACACUAGUCAUGCCACACACCAAGUAUGCAUACUAUGUUUGUCUAUGAUCUUUACUUUGUGAACUAGAUCAAUUGAACAUAACUUCAAUGAUUCUCUUUUCACACUCCCAAAUCCUUACUGCAAAUGCAAGAAUUCCAAAUUCAUGCCAUUUACUGAAAUCUGUUAGAUUCUAAACUUAUAUGCAUUGAUCCUCUUGUAAUGAUUAUGCACAAAGUCACAAAGACUUGGCAACAAUCAUUACAGAGUAUUCCAAAGGAGAUCAACUCCUUGGAAAUAUCCUUCUUGCAUUAAGUUUCCUUAAUCUUACACAGAUUGAAAAUUCUAACUUUGAAACAUUUCCAGAUUCCAUUUUGACUAUCACUUCUGAACAAGAGUUGCCUCCUUACAGAUUAUGUCAAUAUGGUCCUUCCAGAAUUAUCACUAUACUUCCAAUUGUCCUUGAGCAACCAAUCUUUGGUAAACCUUAGAUUGUCCUCGACAAUUGUUUAAUCCUUUUAGUCAUAUCCAGUUCUAAACCUUUUCCCUUCUUAAUGCCCCAGGCAUUUGGAAAAUUUUAGAACGGAUGAAUAUAGCACAUGUAAUCGAUCCUAUAUCCGAAGCAUAUGGGACACGAUUCAUGAUGUCUCACAUAAAGACUAAACCAGUCUUUUGCUAUAAUAUUUCCAUUUCAAUUUGCCAAGUUCUCAUAAUUCAGAUUAUGAAAAGGGAUGCCGUAAUCAUAAUCGAAUUUUAGAACGCAAAUAAUGGACCCAUAUACAGAAUUUCCUUAUGUUGAGCCAUUCCAACAUGAAAUUCAUAUAUAUCCUUGACUAAAUGAUUAAAACCUCACGAUCUAAGCUUAUAGAUUUGAGAUGAAGCAUAAUUUCCUCUCCCUUAAUUAUAGCAAAACAACUUUUUCCCAAUUGAAACUUUUGUUUUCUAUAAUUAACAUUGCUAACUUGCAAUACUUAUCAUAAUUAUCAUGCUCCCACUAACAUGAUGAUUAUUAGCAUAACACUUAUGCUCCCACUAGCUUUGACAUGUACUCAGAAAUCAGCUGGACUUCUAGAAAUCAAUACUUCAUUGACUUUCUUACCAAAGUUCAGAUUUCUGAUACUAGAUUGUUUUGAUAAAACUUUAUCAAAAUCAUACACCUUCCCUUAGAUAGCACACUUGUGUGUCUAAACAAUUAUGAAGAGGUAUGCCGUAAUCAUAAUGGUUAGACCUUUUUGCCACUUCUCACAAGUCCAGGUUAGUGUGCCGGUAAACCACACGCGCUCCACUAACGACUUUGAGAAUGCAAAUAUCACAAUUGCUAUCUAGCUAAAAUCUACUUAGUGAAAGUGUUUCCUCACCAUCAUUUUCAUGAAUCGGAGAGAAACCUUAUGACACUUAGAUUUAAUGGUGUAUGUGUUCUUAUCCAUGUGAAUUGUCAAAAUCAUAGUCACAAGACAAGGAUAAUGACAAAUCCAAACUCAUAUGGACUGAACUCAAUCUUAAUUUCUUGCCACCUGGCAGCUCAAGGGCCUGCCAUUGCUUCCAAGUUGUUGUGCAACAAAUUGAGAACUCUAAGAACUCAUAUGCAAAGCCAACUUUAACUGGAAUGGGCACAGAAUAUGUCAACACGAUAGGUUAUAAACCUCAAGUCGUGUGCUAGUGAAGAACUUCAGGUUUUAUUCUUGAUUAGUUCUUGAGACUUUCAAGACCUUUAAGACUCCCACUGUCCUCUUGACCUAUAAGACUCCCUUGUCAAAUAUCCAAGAGAUAGUGUGGAUUCUAAUCAAGACAAACACUUUACACAAUUGGCCUAAGUUGGUCUUUGUUUUAUCCAAAACAUCACAACUUACCAAUUUCAAAUGUACAAGAGUAGAAAACUUUUACUCUUACAUUUGACAAGUGUUUUAAACCUUCUUUAAGACAUGUCACUCAAGUUACAAUCUUGGAGUAUGACUCUAAGACUUGUAUUGGAACGAAGUAUGACUCAUCUUCUUGAUUUAACCAUUUCAACAAUUCAAGAUUCCUCUUCUUAGUCAUAAGAAUGCACUAAGAUUUCCUUAGAGAACUAAUUGUGCUAUGGUUUCUUAAUCAUUAAGAUGAUCACAAAACUGAUACUAAAGUACUCUCCCAUCUUUUCAGAUUUGAGAAACUUUUAUCCUUCUGCCUAAUUUGAUUCUUCUUAUUCGCUCUGCCAUACAUUGGAACCUUUUCCAAUGUCUCAGAAUUACACUUAAGCUUGUAAGUAUAACCAUAUUUACUGAGCUUUAGUAAAUUAUGACGAAUAAUCUUAUCGAUCUUUUGUGGUGGACUUGACCAGUGCACAAGAAUGUGUACUCGAUCCCUUAGUCCUUCACUUGACUCACAUAUACAUGUGAACAAGGAACUAGUCUUAAUUUUCCAAAGAUGAAAAGUUCUCAUUCAUCAUGCUAUACAACUUGCAUGAUUCCAAGUUUCGGUCCAAUUGAAACUUGGGUGACGAGGAUCUUUCCUUAUUUGGUAAAUUUAGACAUUACCAUAAAUGAAAGAAUCAAUUUCAUAUUUCUACCCUUGCUAUUAAUGGAAUCUUAUAAGCAACAAUUUUUUCACAAAUGUCAUUGUAAGGAUACUUAAAAUAAAUAAAAUCAAAAAUUUCCUUUUAUUUUAAAACUUUGCGGAAAAACUAUCCUUACAGUGCAAAAAGCACAUAAAAACUUUGUUGUUAUCUAUUCCUAAACAAUAUAUCAUAACUCCUAAGAAGUAGCUCAAGAAUCCGAUCUUCAAAUUAUGCGACAGAAAUCCAUCUACGCGAUCAGAUUCAGCAUAUUCUUUCUUUAAGUUCCUUCAUUUUUCUUUGAUUCUUAAAACAUCACCAUGNCCCAGUCACAUCAUGUAAUAAGAAUCUCAAAAUAGAAACUUAGUAGAGUUAGAUAGUGGACUUUACCUUAAGUAGAGUUAAACUGAUUGACUUUAACAUCCUUAGGUAAAAUUGACAGCUUCGCAACCAAUGCCCCUUCCUUUGGCAAUUUAACAUAUGGACGCUUUGGUAAUGGAACAUGGGACUAUCACAGACUUAGCCUUUCUCUUUACCAUUUGGUCAAUUGAUUUGACUAUGGCCAAUCCCUUUCCAUUGGGAAGGGAGAGCUUUAAUGGAUAUCCAAUGUCAUUAUUGCCAAUGUCCACAAGUUUUAGGAAGUUGAUCUUAGCAAAUAGAUAAGAUCAUUAAGGGUCUUGUCAUAGUCUGUUUCAUAGGAGUCCCAAAGGAACUCACUAUGUGACUUAGAAAGUGAUUGGACAUCCAACUUUCUCAAGACUUUGACACCCAACUCUCCCGGCUUGUCAAUAUGUGACUUCAUCUCCAAGAUGUGAGCACACCUAGACCUCGCCUUGCCAAUAGGGCUUGAGUGACCUUAAACUUUUCAAGAACUUGUGGGUUAAGAAAAAUAAUUUGGAGGAGGUGAAAGAAGUAUGAUUUCCAUGGGACAUCAUCUUCAUUUAGGAAAACUUGUUUCAAGAGAUUUGGGAAGAUCAUAAAUGUCUAAACCAGACAUCUUUUUGAGAGAUAUUCAAGAUAGUUGAUUUAAAUUCCUUAAUAUAACACCCAAUAUGAAAUAUUAAGGCUAGGACCCAACACAAUACUUGUAUAACUUGGAAGAGGGAUGCCGUAAUCCAAACUAUAAAAUAUUUGAAGGUAGAUGAAUGACGAUUCACCAAUUUCCACCAAGAUAAACGAAAUGUAUUAUUAGGUUUUAAUUGGUUUUGAAACUCCUAGAUCUUUGAGAUUCAUUGAACUUUUCAAUGGCAUGUUUCAAUCUCGAGUGUGCCCUUCAGGUUUUGUGACUGGGAUGCCGAGGAUCACAAAACAAGGUGUGAAGUAACCAUGCAAAUUACUUGGUACCCUUAAGUGUUUACCCCUCAAUCGAUGUGCCGGUUAACCACACACGCUCCACCGAUACUAUGAUAAACAUUAAGUUACCCUUUGCCUACCUUGUUAAAUACGAGUUAGUGUGCCGGUUAACCACACACGCUCCACUAACCGACUUAAACAAAGUGAAAAGUGUAAUUUCAUGGAUUAGCACCUUAUUCACUUUUUCCUAAGUAACUAAGAUUGGGUAUUUAUAAAAGGUUUAGUUACUUAGUAUUUAUCAUUAAUACUUUUAAUGAAGGGAGAAUUAUAGUCCUUGUCCUACACGUUCGGCUAACGACCCUCCACCAGUCAAGGAAGCGGUGGGUGAGAGUGGAC